AGGGCACCACCAGGAGUGGAGCCUGCGGCUUAAUUUGACUCAACACGGGAAAACUCACCCGGCCCGGACACUGGAAGGAUUGACAGAUUGAGAGCUCUUUCUUGAUUCAGUGGGUGGUGGUGCAUGGCCGUUCUUAGUUGGUGGAGUGAUUUGUCUGGUUAAUUCCGAUAACGAACGAGACUCUAGCCUACUAAAUAGAUCGUCGGCUUACAAACGCCGACGAGACUUCUUAGAGGGACAGGCGGCGAUUCAGCCGCACGAAACAGAGCAAUAACAGGUCUGUGAUGCCCUUAGAUGUCCGGGGCCGCACGCGCGCUACACUGAAGUGAUCAGCGUGCUUUUCAACCUACUCUGUCAAGAGGUGGGGAACCCAAUGAACCUUCUUCGUGAUUGGGAUAGGGGAUUGUAAUUAAUCCCCUUGAACGAAGGAAUUCCCAGUAAGGCGCGAGGUCAUAAGCUCGCCUUGGAUUACGUCCCUGCCUUUGAAAAACGCCCGUCGUUCCUACGAUGGAAGUUUUA
This 519-nucleotide ribosomal RNA is filed under the name uncultured eukaryote. RNAcentral describes it as "SSU rRNA". It matches the Rfam family "Eukaryotic small subunit ribosomal RNA", at positions 1161 to 1700 of the family's 1831-position model. The record is from RNAcentral.